Molecule: ribosomal RNA, 327 nt
Filed under: uncultured bacterium
Lineage: Bacteria
Description: bacterial SSU rRNA
Rfam family: Bacterial small subunit ribosomal RNA
Source: RNAcentral
GACGAACGCUGGCGGCGUGCCUAACACAUGCAAGUCGAGCGAAGUUUUUAAAGAAGAUCUCUUCGGAAUGAAACUUUAAUUAUCUUAGCGGCGGACGGGUGAGUAACGCGUGAGAAACCUGCCUUUUACAAAGGGAUAGCCUCGGGAAACUGGGAUUAAUACCUUAUGACACUUAAAUGUCGCAUGAGAUUUAAGUCAAAGCGUAAAGCGGUAAAAGAUGGUCUCGCGUCCCAUUAGUUAGUUGGUGAGGUAAAGGCUCACCAAGACAGCGAUGGGUAGCCGGCCUGAGAGGGUGAACGGCCACACUGGAACUGAGACACGGUCCAG